This 460-nucleotide ribosomal RNA is filed under the name uncultured bacterium. RNAcentral's name for it is "partial 16S ribosomal RNA". It matches the Rfam family "Bacterial small subunit ribosomal RNA", at positions 338 to 795 of the family's 1533-position model. The record is from RNAcentral.
CCUACGGGAGGCAGCAGUGAGGAAUAUUGGUCAAUGGGCGAGAGCCUGAACCAGCCAAGUCGCGUGAAGGAUGACGGCCCUACGGGUUGUAAACUUCUUUUGUCAGGGAGCAAUUGGGUCCACGCGUGGGCUUAGCGAGAGUACCUGAAAAAAAAGCAUCGGCUAACUCCGGGCCAGCAGCCGCGGUAAUACGUAGGAUGCGAGCGUUAUCCGGAUUUAUUGGGGUUAAAGGUUGCGUAGGCGGAAUAUCAAGUCAGCGGUAAAACUUCGGGGCUCAACCCCGUCGUGCCGUUGAAACUGAUGUUCUUGAGUGGGCGAGAAGGAUGCGGAAUGCGUGGUGUAGCGGUGAAAUGCAUAGAUAUCACGAAGAACUCCGAUUGCGAAGGCAGCAUACCGGCGCCCAACUGACGCUGAAGCACGAAAGCGUGGGUAUCGAACAGGAUUAGAUACCCUAGUAGUC